UAACAAAAACAUGGUUUUUUGAUUAUAAUUUAAGAUUAGUUCUGCACACUGAAUAGGAAUUUAAAGAGCUGCAGUAUAUUAACUGUGCGAAGGUAGCAAAAUCAUUUGUUUAAUAAAUUUAAACUGGGAUGAAAGAGCUGAUGAGAUGUAGACUGUCUCAUUAUAAUUAUUUGAAAUUAGUUUUUAGGUUAAAAUUCCUAGAUUUUAUUAUUAGACGAGAAGACCCUAUAGAAUUUUAUUAAGGUAUGAUUUUUUUUAUUUUAGAUUUUUUAUUUAUGAAUUUGUUUUUUAAUUUGGUUGGGAGGAUUAUUAAAUUUGUUUAACUUUAAUAUUAAUUGAAGACAAUGAUUUUUGGUUUUUUGAGUUUUUAAGAAUUAAUAGAUUAAAUUACCUUAGGGAUAACAGCGUAAUAUUUUUGGAAAGAUCAUAUUGAUAAGAAUGUUUGCGACCUCGAUGUUGAAUUAAGAUAAAAAUUAAAUGUAGAAGUUUAAUAUUUGGGUCUGUNCGACCUUUGAAAUCUUACGUGAUCUGAGUUC
Molecule: ribosomal RNA, 536 nt
Filed under: Tachynomyia sp. XL146
Lineage: Eukaryota; Metazoa; Arthropoda; Insecta; Hymenoptera; Thynnidae
Description: partial 16S ribosomal RNA
Rfam family: Bacterial large subunit ribosomal RNA
Source: RNAcentral